Molecule: long non-coding RNA, 200 nt
Organism: Mus caroli (Ryukyu mouse)
Lineage: Eukaryota; Metazoa; Chordata; Mammalia; Rodentia; Muridae
Source: RefSeq, a predicted model, not a curated record
AUUCUACACCCCACACUGUCUCAUGGAGGCACUGUAUCAUCUCCUAACAUCACAGUGCAUGGAUGGGAGGAAACACAGGAGUACAACUAGUCUUUGGUAAACAGGAGGAUUCAGGCACCCACGAUGAUACCCUCUCUGGGCAGUAUCAUACAUGGAUUUCCUUCUAUUGAUCAAGCCUCACAAAAACCCCUGUGGCAGAC